GACUCCGUAGCUUAACCGGCAGAGCGAUUGAUUCUCAUCAGGCAUCAAUAGGGCGGCAGUUCGAACCUGUCCGGAGUCG
Molecule: transfer RNA, 79 nt
Filed under: Spirosoma linguale DSM 74
Lineage: Bacteria; Pseudomonadati; Bacteroidota; Cytophagia; Cytophagales; Cytophagaceae
Description: tRNA-Glu
Rfam family: tRNA
About the family: Transfer RNA (tRNA) molecules are approximately 80 nucleotides in length. Their secondary structure includes four short double-helical elements and three loops (D, anti-codon, and T loops).
Source: RNAcentral